Molecule: non-coding RNA, 462 nt
Organism: Danio rerio (zebrafish)
Lineage: Eukaryota; Metazoa; Chordata; Actinopteri; Cypriniformes; Danionidae
Source: RefSeq, a predicted model, not a curated record
GCAUUGACAAAUGGUGACAGCAAGGUCCCAGAGACUCAAACUGAAACCAAAGGAUGAAGCAGUGUACUAUGCUUCGACUUCAAAAGAUAAAACUGGAUUUGAAAUAAAAUACAUAAACUUAUUCAAAGGUCGGGGAGUAUUCAGCUCUAGCCACUAUAGAAAAGGAGAUUUUCUAGUUGAAUAUAGAGGAGACAUAAUAACCAAAGAAGAAUGUGAAAGAAGACGCAGACUUUAUCAUAAUGCACUUGAAGUGUUUUUGUUUCAAAUCCUUUUUAAUGGAAGACAGUUAUGGGUUGAUGCUGCAAGAGAAGAUGGCUCGUUGGGUACACUUAUUAAUGACAAUCAUAUAAACCCAAACAGCAAAAUGAAAAUAAUCAAUGUUGAUAGAAAACCCCAUUUGUGCUUAUUCACAACAAAGGACAUCAGUCCAGGACAAGAGAUCACUUAUAACUAUGAUGUUUC